Molecule: RNA transcript, 7437 nt
Organism: Salmo salar (Atlantic salmon)
Lineage: Eukaryota; Metazoa; Chordata; Actinopteri; Salmoniformes; Salmonidae
Gene: rps6kc1
Gene name: ribosomal protein S6 kinase B1
Source: RefSeq, a predicted model, not a curated record
CGUCCCAAUAUUUGGUUGUGAGUGGAAACGCCCACCGGAUACUUCACAUUCAUACAUCCUGUGAAUUAUCUGGCUCAUUGUUCUAUCUGUGCGUAGCAGCGGCUAUCUGGAACGAAGCAAAGCAGCCACGGCUUUUUAGACUGGGAAUCAGCUGGCUAGCUAAUGGCUAUGGUUCAAUCAGAAUGAUAUCGCAGCGGGAACGAGGAGAACUUGCACGUUUUUAUACUGUUACGGACCCUAAAAAGCAUAAGAAAGGAUAUACAGUGUACAAAGUCACUGCAAGGAUCAUCUCCAGAAAGAACCCGGAGGACGUCCAAGAGAUCACGGUGUGGAAGAGGUACAGUGAUUUCCGGAAACUUCAUCACGACCUCUGGCAACUACACAGGAAUCUCUUCAGCCAAUCAGAGCUCUUCCCACCCUUCGCCAAGGCCAAAGUGUUUGGUCGUUUUGAUGAGACGGUGAUUGAGGAGAGGAGGCAGUGCUCAGAAGAUCUGCUACAGUUCUCUGCUAACAUCCCAGCCCUCUACAGCAGCCAGCACAUCCAGGACUUCUUCAAGGGAGGGGAGGUCAGCGACGGCUCAGAGCUUAUUGGACCGGCCGAACCCUUCUUGGACUUCCUGGCUGACAGCCUAUCAGACUGCGGCUCUGAGGUUCAGAGGGAUCUCGGUGGAGCAGAUGAUUGGACCAUUACCAGUCAGUCUGAAUAUGGAGGUCCGUCCAGUGACAGUGACCUGACCUCCCUGGCCGUAGAUAUAGACUCUUUGGCCGAGCUGGAUGAUGGCAUGGCCUCAGGCCGUAGCUCGCCCAACCAGCCACUGGGAGGCUCCAGCACCAUCACCAGUACCCACAGUAGCCCCUCUCUGCCCCCCCUGUAUGACUACCAGCAGCACCACCAUCAGCAGCACACCUCGAAUCCAGCCCCCGGCUCCCCAGCCCCCGAGGUCAGUCGAACCAGCAGGACAGCGCUGUUCCCCUCCAGUCUGAGGAGAGGUAACGCUAACGCUAGGGAAACCAAGAGAGACUACCUGGACAGGGCUAGCGAACACAUCCGAUUGGCCGUGCAGAAGGAAGCAGAGCAGGACUACCAAUCAGCGUUCUCCUACUACAGGAGCGGGGUGGAUUUGCUUCUGCAAGGGGUGCAAGGCGAGCCCAGCCCUACGAGGCGGGAGGCAGUGAAGAGAAGGACGGCUGAGUAUCUGAUCCGUGCUGAGCAGAUAUCCAAUCAGCAUCUGAGAAACAGCAUGGGUCAAGGGUCAACACAGACAGUGGCCAUGGGGGCGCAAUGCUCUACCGCCACCUGCAGAGGGGGUCAGCAGAGUCCAGCCGAGGAGCUCAGGGCCUACAUGGUGCUGGGGGUCAUCGAUAAGGUUCUUCUGGUUAUGGACAAGAGAACCCAGGAGACCUUCAUUUUGAAAGGCUUGAGGAAGAGCAGUGACUGUGGGAGACCCAAGCGGACCAUCAUGCCUCACUCUGUGCCCCACAUGGUGCGCCUGAGGAAGUUCAUCGUCUCAGAGGACACUGUGUUUCUUCUGCUACAUUACGCUGAGGGUGGGAAGCUGUGGUCUCACAUUGGGAAGUUCCUGCGUAACUCCAGCCCGGAGGACAGCUUCGACAUUCCCUUCAUUCAGAAAAGCCACACCACGGCAGUCCACUCUGCCCAACAUGCUGCUCCCAAGCUGGGCUUGGACUCUGGCAGCUCUGGGUCUGGGCCUGGAGCUGGGUCUGGUUCUGGAUGUGUGCUCCAGAGGCAAGGGGAGUCUUCUCUUGUCCUCCCCCAGAAGAGUGCUCUGCCUCCUGGGCAGGCUGACAGCCUUAGGCACCAGCCGGACUCUGGAGCGACCUCUGAGUUAGAGGAGUGCACCGACAGUUAUCUGAAUCUCUGUAAUGAGUACGAACAAGAAAAGGUAGAACCAGAAGCUCUAGGAGAGGAGGAAGAGAAGGAGGGAGAGGGGUGUGUGUCGAGAGGACAGGAAGCAUCGUCGCUGGAUGUCACCGUCACCACGACAACCACUUCCUCCAGGACUCGCUCACUGCUUAGCAACGACAGCCUCUGCUCUCCAAUCAGCGCCCAGGAGCUGCGUUUCUUUACUGAGACGGCCGGGGAUCACAACAACGGGCGUUGCCAGGACAUCGGGCAGGACCACGGCGAGGUGUUCAGCCCCUUGCUCUCCCCCGCCGUUCCCCUCUCGUUGGACCAGUCCAAACGCACCCCCAUGGAGUUCUUCCGCAUCGAUAGUAAGGACAGUGCUAGCGAGGUGACGUGGUGUCCCGACUCGGCCGAGCUGAGGCCCAAACCAGACCCUUCCAAGCCACUCCCCUUCCUGUCCACCUCUGACCUGGGCUCUGAAGUCACAGACCUGUCGGACCUAGUGGAGGAGGUGAAAGGUCAUGGAGGUGGAUCUGACCGGUGGGGUCUGGAUGGUAGUGACCAGGGCUCUAAUGAGUCGGUACCAGUCAUCUCCUUUAAAGAGGCAGUGGUGGAGGACGAGGGUCGACCCCCUGACCUCCUGGUCAACCUGCCUGGGGUCAUGGGUGGGGAGGGGUUGGUGGGGGUAACUGGGGAAGUGGAGGCCCUUGUGGAGGAGCUGGUGUCCUCGGGGGUGUGUCUAGCCCUGGAGACCAAAGCCUCCCCUAAGUUGACCCAGCCGGAUGUCCUGCAGCUCCACCAUGAGCUUGAGGAGGGAGAGGGGCUGGCUGUGGGGCGGGCCCUCCCCUCGAGGGAUAAACACACCACUUCUUCCUCUCCCUGCACCUCCCUGUGGGACGACUGUGGCCUGGCCUUCGGACAAGAUGAUAAAAUGGCUUCCGGAGCUCCCGUACUCCCGAAUAAGGACUUCCUCCCUGCCAGCACUGUGUCUAUAGCCCCGCUCUCUUCCUCCAACACAGAUAUUCCAUUCAUUGACUCACUUAGCUCACUUCCUGAAAGAUUAGAAGCCAUUUUGAACCCACAGGCACACCCUGACAGUUUGGUUCUUAACCCAGAUGGGACGAUGGCUGGCUCCAACCGCGGUCAGGAUGGAACAGGGGCCAGCUCUGGGGCAGAGAGUGCACUAGGCGUUGAGUCCCAGUUCCAGGCCAGUAAGGCUGGUGUGGAGGACAUGGUAGAGUCAGAUAAGGAUGUGUCUCGGCUGUUUGCAGAGCUUGACCAGUUGUCUGCUGUAGCGUCCCAGGCCAGGAUUCCAGAGGAGUUUGUGAGGUGCUGGGCGGUGGACAUGGUCUCUGCCUUGGACUCACUCCAUCAGGAGGGCAUCGUCUGUAAGGACCUCAACCCCAACAACAUCCUCAUCAACAGCAAAGGCCAUGUUGAGCUGACGUAUUUCUGCAGCUGGAGUGACGUGGAGGACUCCUACGACAGGGAGGCCAUCGCCAACAUGUACAGUGCACCAGAGGUGGGCGGUAUCAGCGAGGAGACGGCAGCGUGUGAUUGGUGGAGUUUGGGAGCCAUCUUGUUUGAGCUGCUCAUAGGCAAGUCUCUGCUGCAGUGCCACCCAGCUGGUAUCAGUCGCCACACGGCCCUCAACGUCCCUGAGUUUGUAUCUGAGGAGGCCAUGUCGCUACUGGUGGAGCUUCUCCAGUUCAACCCCAUAGAGAGGCUGGGGGCUGGGGUGGCAGGAGCAGAGGACAUCAAAUCACAUCCCUUCUUUGGCCGAGUGGACUGGCCCAAAUAAGCCCAGUGCAUUGUGGGACGGUGGAGGUCAGAAAUGAAUGCUGUGGGCGGAUCGAGCUGCUGACAGGAUAGAGGAGAUCAGACCAGGGGGGGCUCCUUCCUCCUGCGGCUCAGCAGGGUCACUGGGCGGUGGGGCUGGAGGGGUCCAGGUGGUGGGCUGAGGCUGGAGGAUCAUCCUGAGGCACAGACAGAACUGGAACAUGGAAGAGCUCCUCUGCUGAUAUUCCGAGUCACAGGAAAUUAUUGAAUGUAGUUUAAUGGCAAAAUAGCCUCAGCACGUUGAUUGUCGCACGGUGCCUAUCAUAAGUAUUGGAUUUCUUCACAUUGUGUUGUGUAACAAAGUGGGAUUCAAAUGGAUUUAAUUGUCUUUUUUUUUUAACGAUCGGCACAAAAUACACUAUUUACUCUGUAAUACUCUAAUGUCAAAGAUGAAUGAAAAACACCAAUUUACCUUGAUAAGUAUUAACCCCCCUGAGUCAAUUCAUGCUAGAAAUACUUUUGGCCGCGUUUACAGCAGUGAGUCUUCUUGGGUAAAUUACUUUAGUGCCUUGUUGCAUACAUGAUGCAUGUUUUGGAAUAUUCUGUAUAUUUGUAGUCUUCUUUUCAAUCUGUCAUUUAGGUCAUUAUUGUGGAGUCACUACGAUGUUGUUGAUCCAUCCUCAGUUCUCUCCCAUCACAGUCAUUGAACUUUCUUGCUGUUUUAAAAUCACCAAUGGCCUCAUGGUGACAUCCCUGAGCAGUUUCCUUCCUGUCCUGCAGCUCAGUUCAGAAGGACGACUGUAUCUUUGAUGUGUCUGGGUGGUUUAAUACAUCAUCCACAGCAUAAUUAUUAACUUGACUAUGCUUAAAGAAAUAUUCACUGUCUGAUUUGUUAUAAUUACCCAUCUACCAAUCAUUGCACUUCUUGGUCUUUGUAGUUGAAUCUGUGCUUUAAAUUCAAUACUUGACUGAGGGACCUUACAAAUGUUGUAUGUAUGGGGGGCAGAGGAAGGGGUAGUCAAAAAUCACCCCUAUUAUUUCACACAGUGAGCCAUGUCAGUUAUGGGAUUUUUUUAAAUCACAAUUUUACUCCUGAAAUGAUUUAGGCUUGCCUACACAUUGGGGGUGAAUAUUUAUGCAACGACUUCAUUUUUGUUAUUUCAUGUAUAUUAAUUUGUAAAAAUGUGUAGAAUUUUCUGUUCACUUUGACAUUAUGGAGUAUUCUUUGUAGAUAAAUGACAAAAAAAAAUUAUAAUAAACUAUUUCAAUCCCACUUUGAAUUGCAGCAAAACGUGAAAAAAUCUAAGGGGGUGAAUAUUUAUGAUGCCUACUGUAUAUUGGAACAGCUCAUUCCUGCUACACUAUAAAUACCUAAUAGCAAGAAAGUGAGAGAGAAAAGCAGAGUACAUACAUUCACUGGACAGUUUAUUAGGUACACCCAUCUAAUACGAGGUUGGACCCCUCUUUGCCACCAGAACAGCCUGAACAACGUCGGAAACGUUCCACAGGGAUGUUGGUCCAUGCUUACACGAUGGCAUAUCGCAGUUGCUGCAGAUUGGACGGCUGUACCUCAAUUGUCCAGUGUUGGUGAUCGCGUGCCCACUGGAGCCGCUUCUUCUAUCCUUUUUAGCUGAAAAGAGUGGAACCCGGUGUGGUCGCCUGCUGCGAUUGCCCAUCCGUGACAAUGUUCGAGUGGUGCGCUCCGAGAUGCCGUUCUUCACGCUGAGCCAUUAUUUGUCUAUUUAUGGCCCCCAUGUUAGCUUGCAUGAUUCUUGCUGUUCUCCUUUGACCUCUCAUCAACAUGCUGUUUUCGCCCACAGGACUGCCGUUGACUGGAGGUUUUUUGUUUGUCGUACCAUUCUCUGUAAACCCAAGACACUGUUGUGUGUGUGAAAAGCCCAGAAGGCUGGCCAUUUCUUAAAUACUGAAUCCGGCGAGUCUGGCAUCGACGAUCAUACCACGCUCAAAGUCGCUUAGGUCACUUGUUUUACCCAUUCCAACAUUCAAUCGAACAGUACAUGAAUGCCUCGAUGCCUGUCUGCCUGCUUUACAUAGCAAGCCAUGGCUCGUGACUCAUUGUUUGUAGGAGCGAUCUAUUUUCGUGAAUGGGGUGGUGUACCUAAUGAACUGUAGCCUUCAAAGAGAAAGAAACAGGAGAGAGAGAGAGGCAGGCAGAGAGGAAGAGAGAGGGAGAGUACUGGAACUCCUUGGAUGUUAAUGGUUUUGCUUCCACACCUGUCACCCUGCACACAUGCAUACAGAGGUCUUUGAUAAUUACAUAAUCGUCCGGGAGUACAGAACCAUGGAAAUGGACAUGAUGAGUUGUGUUCCGAUCUGUGGGUCUCCUCCAUCUAUUUCCAUUAUUGUAAUGUACUGCUGCUGAUGACCUGUACUCACACAAUUAGCAGCUACUGAGAGGACUGCCCUCGGAAAGAGACCUGCACUGACACACACCUUCUGGGAAUGUGUGGACGUUUUCAUUUGUCUUUUUCUUUAUAUAUAUUUUUUGCAUUUUAUUUACCUAGAAUUUACUCUAAAUGUAAAUCUAUGGUUUGGGAGUAGGCCUAGUUGGUAGGAGGGAAGAGGUGCAUACUGUAAAUGUGUAACCCACAAGGUACCAUGGUUUCUUGAGAUGUGUGUAGUGUAGGCUGUGGGCUCCACCCUGGUCACUCCCUAGCCAUGCCCAUAAGCACUUCCUGGUUUGCCAGGAAGGGGGAAGCCAUCUUGAUUGAAUGUGUGAUCAGAAAUGUUUGUAACUACAGUAGAAACAUUUUUAUAGUUUAAAAGACUAGUUUCUCAAUUCCAUACAAAGGAUAACAUUCUCAAAUACUUUUUUAAAGAGCGGCUGAACUCACCGAUUCCGCAUAUGUUUUUCUGCUGCUCAUUAAGAAAAACAAGAUUUAUGGUUAUUGUAUUUUUUUGUCUCUUGAGGCACGAUAGCAAUAACAUAUCGACUACUGUCUUCUCAAAAUAGUCUGAAUUAAUCUAACAUAAAUCAAGAUAUAUGUUAUUAAUUUUGACUGUUUGGUGCAGUAUUUCUCAAGUAAAAAAAUGUGCAUGAAAAACUAUUCUAUUUCCAGGGUGUCUGUCUGACAGUGUUUCAUAGUGAAUCGUGUUACAAAACAGGUCGCGGUGGAACACAAGAUGCUCGCGAAUGGGUUUAAAAUUUUGUAACAUGAUUGUUAGAAUGCAAGUGCGCAUCGUCUUGAUUUUACUUACAUUUUUGCCAAGAACAGUGGCGGAUUCUGGCUGUUAUGAUUCGAUAGAGCGCAAUCACCACAGUUGGUUCUCCAUGCAUGACAAUUCUCCCUAGGCAUUACCAUCCCGUGUUAGUGGGCAAGUGGGCAUGAUUGUAAUCCAAACUCAACCCUCAUGUAAAUCGUGACGACCUGAGUUAGACAAAUCUCACGAAACUCAGUUUUGGAAUAUACUGACUUUAUGACACAAAUUAUCCUACUUACACUUUUGUUUGUCAUUUUUGGCUCUGGAGUAAAUGUUUCUGACUAAUAUCGAUGCCACACAGGCUGUUUUCAACCAGAGAAGUAAUUUUUUUGCGUUCAGUUGCCCUUAAGGCAUAUUGUAUUGAUUAUCAUGUGAAGUUUCCUCUGUGGACUACUGCUUCUAAAGACCAAAGUUUGGAAUGCUAUUUCCAAGGUCUACUGAUGUUGGGCUUUUCUUCUGUGGACUACUUUCCUUUGAAUAUUAUACUGAACUGCACAACUGAUCUGAUUUCAUUUCUUGCAGCAGGGACGGAAUUUAAUUAAACAUUUUCUUUCAUUGAUGCACAGCAA